UGCUGCCGCCUGGGCGUUGGUGUGCCCCCCUCCUGCUUCAGCAGAAGUAGCGGCGCUGAUGGCGUACUGAUGUUUGGUGUAUGCUUAUCUGUAGGAUGUUGAGUGCGUAGGGCUGCGCAUCUAGUUUCUGUGCCUCUUGGUGCCGUCUUGCAUCUCUGUAUGUGCGUGUAGAUGUGUAUCUACAUGUAUGUAUCCGCCUCUCUUCUCAGGUGAUGUGGCGGCCCGUUGUCGGCUCGACAUUGGGAAGCGGGUGAGGGACAGCGCUGCGUCUAGCAUCCUUCGCUCGGAGUCUUUACCGCGCCUGCGCUCGCGUAUUCGAGAGCGUAUCGAUCUCUCUGCUCGAAAUGUCAACCGCAGACAUAGUACCCUUCACGUGCGUUCGACAGAACACCAAGCGAUGGGGCGAAAGGGGGCGCUGAAGAGCGAGACGGAAAUCGCGGAGGGCUGAGGUGCGCACGCGCUUUGGACCCCCUCUUUUUCUCCCCUGCCUCCUUUCUACGUGGCCCCCUCCUCCUUUUCCCCUCCGCCGGUGUCUCGAGAACACUUCUUGUGCUGCUGUUGGGCCUCCCUCUCGUGGAAGAACACAUAAAACGAGCGCGAAGAUGCAUGCGCAUGGACGUACGGCCGCACGCCGGCACGACUUGCGAAGGCUUGUGUGAGCGGUUGUGUAAGUUUGUGGACGUGUUUCGUGCAUGUUGGCAGGCAAGUGGCGGGCAGCGGCUCUUUCUGUGCGCUCCUCACAACGAAGAAGUGCAAACAUUGAUCGAAUAUUUUCUAAUGGGGCGCUUGAGCCGGCGCACGCCAUCCGCUCUCGCUUCCUCCCUCUUGAGCGCGUCACAGAGCAUUAUUCUCUCUCAGUCUUGCGUGCGCGCACACACACCGCUUUUGCGCGCUCUCUGUGGACCUGCAUAUGGCGACGAUGCGCUGCUCUUGCUGUUACUCUCCUUGCGUCGCUCGCUCGUUUCUUUUCCACUCCUGCCUAAAG
Molecule: unclassified non-coding RNA, 985 nt
Filed under: Leishmania donovani
Lineage: Eukaryota; Euglenozoa; Kinetoplastea; Trypanosomatida; Trypanosomatidae
Description: gene:unknown
Source: RNAcentral